UUUCCGGUAAAUACGACACUAAUGGAUUUGGGACAACACUACACGGUCAAACGUCCCGCACUCGGAAACUUAAGUACACAGUACUGUUUACUUAUUGACGUGAAAAUACGGAAGCGCGACAGUAAAAACACGGAGCUAAAUAGCUUCCGUUUGUGGAAACUUAUUCACUUUUUUCAGCAGCCAUGAAGCUAACAGCUUUUGUCGCUUUUGUUGUCCUCCACUGAGAUUGUCGCUAUCCUCCAUUACAGUGGUGUCGCUCUUUUGGAGAUUGCUAUUUGAAUGCAAGGAGCUUUUGUCAAGCAAUACUUACCUUCACCUGCCAUAAUGGAGAACCGGAAUGCCAUGGGAAUAUGAUUGAGGGUUGCAUCCUGCACCUGCCAGACCAUGCAGCAUUCCCUAUCAUCUUCUUCAUGGAAUCUGAACUGGUUGGUGACGCCUGGGUGGUCGACAUCGUGGAUGGCGCUAGCAAACAAAACGGCCAUGAUCUCUAAAUCUGUAAAGACAGCCUGGGAAGAAACACCAAGAGAAGAAGAAUUAGAAGUCACGCUAGACAGGAAGUGUUCUCCAUGUGUUCUCCUAAAUGAUCCACGGAUUCACCUCCAGAGCCGGCGUGGACAGGAGAACGUGCGUGGACUGCACCACGUCGGCGGCAUGGAUGUUGUUGUGAUAAGCGACAUCAGCACGGUAAUGGUCCUCUAACGUCAUCAUGAAGGUGAUGAAGGUGUUCAUCGGGAUUUUAAAGGUUUUUAAAAGUUCUCGUUCCUGUUAGGAUUCAAAGAAGAAUUUUAACUUCCUUUUUCUUCCCGCUCCUGAAACAAUCUUGAUCUACUUUCUACCUGGAAGAUGGAGAACAUUAAAACCGUCAAAGGGCGGUUUCCGGAGAGUUCUGCUAUCUUGAAUAUGUCCAACCCCCAACGGUUAAGGUCCUCAAUCUCCUGAGGGAAUCAAACGUGACAUUUAGAACAUAUUUUCUUUCUUUCUUCUGUGUUCUUUAUUUGGAGACCCACGCCAGCCAGCAGGUUCUCCUGCGGGGUGUUGACUCCAAAACGAGGGAUGGAGGUAGAUGCCAGGCUGGGGCUCGGUGUGGUCUUUUUCACACCGCUGAUCUGUGACAUGGGCCUCUUCUUCUUCUCCUUCUCCUUUGGCGGUGGAGACAAGAUCUCCACAUCGUGUUGUUUCUCUGCAGCGACAACCACACAACCAAAAAUUUUAAAAAACUAAAUUAAAAAAAAUAAAAAUUAAUAACAUAAAUUUAUAAAUAAAAUAAAUUUGCUAAAUACAAAGAUGAAGAGUCUUGAACCAGUAAUGAUGUGCUAUAUAUAUCACUAUAUUGACACUUACUAUGGUACCCAUUAUGGCAUUGGAUGCUCAUAUCACCG
Molecule: non-coding RNA, 1379 nt
Organism: Doryrhamphus excisus (bluestripe pipefish)
Lineage: Eukaryota; Metazoa; Chordata; Actinopteri; Syngnathiformes; Syngnathidae
Source: RefSeq, a predicted model, not a curated record